This 440-nucleotide ribosomal RNA is filed under the name uncultured bacterium. RNAcentral's name for it is "bacterial SSU rRNA". It matches the Rfam family "Bacterial small subunit ribosomal RNA", at positions 955 to 1395 of the family's 1533-position model. The record is from RNAcentral.
AUUAACGCGAAGAACCUUACCUGGCCUUGACAUCCAGAGAACUUAGCAGAGAUGCUUUGGUGCCUUCGGGAACUCUGAGACAGGUGCUGCAUGGCUGUCGUCAGCUCGUGUUGUGAAAUGUUGGGUUAAGUCCCGCAACGAGCGCAACCCUUAUCCUUUGUUGCCAGCGAUUCGGUCGGGAACUCAAAGGAGACUGCCGGUGAUAAACCGGAGGAAGGUGGGGAUGACGUCAAGUCAUCAUGGCCCUUACGGCCAGGGCUACACACGUGCUACAAUGGCGCAUACAAAGAGAAGCGACCUCGCGAGAGCAAGCGGACCUCAUAAAGUGCGUCGUAGUCCGGAUUGGAGUCUGCAACUCGACUCCAUGAAGUCGGAAUCGCUAGUAAUCGUAGAUCAGAAUGCUACGGUGAAUACGUUCCCGGGCCUUGUACACACCGAAU